Mauremys reevesii (Reeves's turtle) is the source of this 2059-nucleotide long non-coding RNA. RefSeq lists it as uncharacterized. The transcript is spliced from 4 exons. Lineage: Eukaryota; Metazoa; Chordata; Testudines; Geoemydidae. The record is from RefSeq and is a predicted model, not a curated record.
CUGUAGUUUGGAGAAGUGCUGGUGAGGAAGGAAACCCUGCCUGAGCAGAGGAGUGAGAGAAACCCUGCCCAAGGGGAAAGAGGAUGGGGAGCUGCAACACAGGGAACCUAAGUGACCCGCCCAGAGUCCCACAUGGAGUCAGUGGCAGAAUUGGAAAUGGAACCCAGAUCUUGAGUUCCAGGCCUGUGCUGAACCACAAGAGCAACUUUUUCCUAGUGAACAUGACGUGUAGCUGGAGGAGGAGCAAUGAGAGACCGGACAAUACCUCUUAACUUAAAAAGAAAAUGGCUGCAAGCAGGAACCAAGGGCUGGGUCUGGAUCCCGGGAGCCACACUGUUGCAGCAGGAGAGGAAGCCACAUGCAAGAAAAGGAAAUCCAGCUCCAAAUGCCCAUGUCUUUUCACUGUAAUUAAAAUGCCAAAGAAACAAGAAGAUGAUCAAUUAAAGGGUUCUUUUCAACUGAAGAGCCAAGGACCUCCUCUCCCCAUAAUGACCCCCAAAGUUUGUUCAUGUUAACUGAAACCAGGUCAAGGUCAAAGCUGCUUGUUUUGUAAAAUUCACUGAACUGUGUUCCCCACUAAAUGAAUGUGGCUUAGUGGCUGGAAGAGGAGAUCGGGAAUCUGAACUCCUAGGUUCCGUUCCUAGCUCUGCCACUGAAAUGUCGUGUCACUUUGACCAAGUCUCUUCACCUCACUGUGUCUCAGCUUCCCCUCAUAUACGAAAUAGGGUUUGUCUCCGAAGUUAAUCUAAGCGGGAGAGUGUUCCACCCGCCAGUGACAAAGACGACGUGGGACAAUUGCAGACUUUGAAACCUACCCUGACAAAGCUUCUGCCUCUCAGGGGCAGAGGUUUCACUAGCAUUCAUAAAGUCUCAAAAGUCCUCGGAUGCCAGGUAUCAGAGGUGCUGAAAAGAUACUACUGCUUUACCAGCUCCAGAACGCAACCACUGGCAAGGGAAGAUGUGCCCUUUUCUAACAUCGUGUACUAUACUGAUGCUCCCAACCCUUCCCCUGCUCCACUGAGAAAGGAUGCAAAAAGGAAAGGUUUCAUAGUCUGAGUUUUCAACAAAUGCCCAUGCUGGUCUGUCUCUACAAUUUGUUGUAUGUAUGGGAAAAAAGUGAGGCACAUCCAAGCACAGAUUCAGAGAACACAAAAGCUCUCUACAUAGGGAAAUUCCACUUCACCAAUUAUGUCAUGUUUUGACUCAUAAUCAACAUCAUUUGCUCACUCUGGGACAGAGACACUGAAAGAAUCACUAUUCCAAGAAACAGAACUCAGUGGAGCAAAUGUAAACAAGGAGGCCUUUCAUGAACAGUUUCUGCAUCCGAGGACAAAGGAAGGAAAUAUUUUUUUCAAGUUUGUAACAAACUCUGGUGGUCAUGCAUUUGCUUAACUACUAAAGUUCAAGCACCAGCUUGAAAAGGUUGAACAUUACAGACAGCACUUGGACAACUGAAUACUGAAGAUUUAUCUGUCUGGGGACUGAAGUGUGUAGGAACAACAAUAAUCCCAAAGAUGACAACUUCUUUAUACACAAAAAUUACCCCGUAAAAGGACUUACUAAGCAUCAUUAUGUUACUGUUUAUGGCUUAAAAGCAUCUGAUUUUAAGCACGGAUAACAACAAAGAUCCAAUAGGUCUUCCAGUGUCUCUUGAUGGAGCUUACGAGGUCUUUACAAGUAACUCAGUGUCUGACUUGAUUAGACUUUUCACUGGUUCUUAAAUCUAAAAGAAGGCUUUUAACUCAGUAAGUGUCCUCACAAGCAUUACCUCAACCACAAAGAUUUUAGAAGAGUUUGUUCAGUGGGACUAACUAGCAAGUUGGCACACUGCUCUGAACUCAUCCUCUGAUUAAAUCCCAACCUCCUACACACAAACCACAAAUACCUUUCGCAGCUGCUAUCUGCACUGUACUGGAACAAGCACACUAGCUAAACACCACUAAAAAGUAUGAGAGCCACCACACAAUACAUUCAGCACGCUACGGUAUCCACACACCAACUACUGAGAUUAAGAGAGCCAGCCAGUCCCAGGUCUCUGGUGUCCCAAAACCUCUUAAAA